Long non-coding RNA from Rosa rugosa (rugosa rose), 800 nucleotides. RefSeq lists it as uncharacterized. Lineage: Eukaryota; Viridiplantae; Streptophyta; Magnoliopsida; Rosales; Rosaceae. The transcript has 3 exons. The record is from RefSeq and is a predicted model, not a curated record.
AAAUGUUGGCAUUCCUUCUUCACAAAACUCUACUCAUUAAAGAAGCCCAAGGUUGCAGCCCAAGCCCAUAAUUGUUUAAUUACAAUUGUUGUGGUUGCCUUGCUGUCAGCUUCCCAUCUUAGCAUGAUUGCAACUUGCUUCUUCUUCAAAGACCCACGUGAAGACUUGAAGAUCAGUUUGCUGGCAGCUUCCCCACCUUAGCUUGAUAGAGAAAUUGCAACUUGGUUCUUCUUCUCUUUUGUGUGGCUGUGUUGCUGUCGAAAGCCAAGACCAAGUUUGAAGAAUUAGUUCAAUUACAACUUGAUAACCUCAUCACAGUUUGCUGCGUUGCUGCCUUGUUGUCGUGGUUCCCAAUCCCAUCUCAUCUUGCUAUCUUGUCCAAGAUCAAGCUUCAAACUUGAAGAUCAAAAGAAGACCCCUCUUCAUCAUGGCUCAACAAAUGCAGAUAUGAAGUCAUUCAAUCCAAAUGGGGAUGCGAAGAAAUGUAUAUUUGAUUGCGCUGAUAAAUGCCCAACAGGAGACGAUCUAUGCUUCUUGAACUGCCUACAAGAUUGCCUGAAACAACCUCAGACACCUCGAGAUCCCCAUUACUACUGCAACCUUGGCUGCUCUGCAAGCCAGUGUCUCAAAUUUAGCAAUGAUAAACUGAAGAUGGGAGAUUGCGUGGAUCACUGUGCAGACGGAAUCUGCAAAACCAAAUAAUUAAGAUCCAAGCCCUAGUCCUCUGUGUUAAUUUAAUAUGUAUCAUUGUGGGCUUGUUAUACCAUAUUAUAUAUGAUGUCAAUGAUGUAUUGGAAUAA